Molecule: long non-coding RNA, 534 nt
Organism: Gigantopelta aegis
Lineage: Eukaryota; Metazoa; Mollusca; Gastropoda; Neomphalida; Peltospiridae
Exons: 3
Source: RefSeq, a predicted model, not a curated record
GAUUGACCGGGGUCAUGCAUGCUUUUCCUGCUCCUUGCACUUCCCAAGAACUCAGAGAGAGGGAGACAUCUUUUGUAUAUGGUCAACUCAGCUACAGGCUGUGUUUUUCGAGGUUGGUGAAAAUCACUUUGAGAUGUUGCUGAACUGAACAACAUGUUGAAGGCACUCUUAGUUCUCUUCCUGGUUUGCAUGGUAAUCGCUGCUGUUACAAGCACCAGAAUGUACGGCGGUUACGGAGGAUAUGGGGGAUAUAGAGGAGGAUAUAUGGGAGGAUAUGGUUAUGGAUAUCCAGGAAGGUGGGCCGGCAGCUACAUCGGUGGAUGGUAACUAAAAAGAGUGUGGGCUGCGCUUGAAGAAUCUGCUGACAGAAAACGAGUUUAAUAAGUGACGUCGUGUAUCAACAUGUAUUGUAAAAAAUAUAUAUAUAUAUCACUGUCGUGUAUCAACAUGUAUUGUAAACAAAGUACACGCUGUCGUGUAUCAACAUGUAUUGUAAACAAAGUACACGUGCAGAAUAAAACCAUUUGUCAUAGA